Molecule: long non-coding RNA, 1285 nt
Filed under: Homo sapiens (human)
Lineage: Eukaryota; Metazoa; Chordata; Mammalia; Primates; Hominidae
Description: non-protein coding lnc-MRPL19-3:1
Source: RNAcentral
CUUACAUGGGCCAAGAAGGGUACCCCAUGCUUUCAGGAUCCUGCUGUGUCCUUUCUCUAGCUCUGCACCACCCUAUGUUUCUGCUUUCUAGAACCGGUUUCAACCACCCAGUGCCCCAGAGUUCCCUACCCAAACAUCCCCAAACUCCCUUCCAGGCCUGCACUGGACUUUUCCCCAAGUCCGUACUCUUAAAGGCCAGAAUGUGCUGAUAGUGUGUGUACCCUAGGCCCAAGCUUUGGGGUGAUGUUGGGGAGGGUGAGUGGAGCUUAGAUUAAGUGGUCCAUACAUCUAUACCCAAAAGCGUUUGUUGAAUUGGAGAAAGCCAGGGAGCAGAGAGCAGUGGAGCGGGCUGGCAUAUUCUACAGCAGUAAGUUCCAGCAUGGAAAAAUCCAAGGAGCCUGAAAAUUCUAAAUCUGAGCUUGGCCUUCAGGUGUGCUUCCAUUUAUGCUCUUGCCUUGGGCUGCAGAAAUGUUAGGGCAGGCCUGGAAGCAAGGCACAGAGAUGGUUCUGAGCCGACAGAAGAGAGACAGAAAGGUCCAGAGGUGUAAUUUGGGAAUCCAAUCACAAGCAGGCAUAAGGCAGCCAAGAAGGAUGAGCCGGUGAUCUCUGCAGUCUGCCCAUAACUCCACACAAAACUUUACCCAUUGUCACAGGAGAGUAUAAGCAUAGCAUAAAGAUCCUCGUAGAUGGACUUUCAGCUCCAUGCUUAAAGCAACUGACAAGAAUCCAUUUCUUUUCAGUGUACAAGUGAAGGGUAAAAGACAGAGAAGGAAGAUAGAGCAUAGGAAAAAGAGUGGGGUGAUAUUUGUCCAUUCAUUUGUUGAAGAAAUGGUUAAAUAAAGGAAUGAAUGACUAAAGACCAGGUUGGCAGGUGAAAGCCAGGGCAGGGGCCUGGGGCAGCAGGCAGAGACACAGCUCUCACAAAUGCAAGAGGAAGACGAAUCAGGCACUCGUCUGUUCUUCAAAGGAUACAGAAUGGUUUUAUUGACCACCUGUACAUGUGAUGGCUUUCAUCCUGGAGGAGAAGGGCAUAUCCACACCUACCGAAUAUCUGUUUCACAGGCAAUGUGCCAAUUAUUUACAUGCAUAAUCUCAGUAAAUCCUUAGACAACUCUGUGGAGGCAUUUACUGAUAUCUCCAUUUUACCCAGGAGGACACUGAGGUCCAGAGAGAUUAAACCAUUUGUCUGAGGUCACACGGCCAGUGAAAUUUUGAUGCAGGAUUUAAAUCCAAGUCUGUCUCUUACCACUGUAUCAUGCUGUUUUCAGAGGUGAGGGGAGGUGUC